UGGGGAAUAUUGCACAAUGGGCGCAAGCCUGAUGCAGCCAUGCCGCGUGUAUGAAGAAGGCCUUCGGGUUGUAAAGUACUUUCAGUCGGGAGGAAGGUGUCAAGGUUAAUAACCUUGGCAAUUGACGUUACCGACAGAAGAAGCACCGGCUAACUCCGUGCCAGCAGCCGCGGUAAUACGGAGGGUGCAAGCGUUAAUCGGAAUUACUGGGCGUAAAGCGCACGCAGGCGGUUGAUUGAGUCAGAUGUGAAAUCCCCGGGCUUAACCCGGGAAUUGCAUCUGAUACUGGACAGCUAGAGUCUUGUAGAGGGGGGUAGAAUUCCAUGUGGAGCGGUGAAAUGCGUAGAGAUGUGGAGGAAUACCGGUGGAGAAGGCGGCCCCCUGGACAAAGACUGACGCUCAGGUGCGAAAGCGUGGGGAGCAAACAGG
RNAcentral lists this ribosomal RNA (429 nucleotides) under Chloroflexota bacterium. RNAcentral describes it as "Chloroflexi bacterium partial 16S ribosomal RNA". It matches the Rfam family "Bacterial small subunit ribosomal RNA", at positions 355 to 776 of the family's 1533-position model. The record is from RNAcentral. Lineage: Bacteria; Bacillati; Chloroflexota.